RNAcentral lists this long non-coding RNA (2340 nucleotides) under Jatropha curcas. RNAcentral describes it as "long non-coding RNA (JCUR_LNC003214)". The record is from RNAcentral. Lineage: Eukaryota; Viridiplantae; Streptophyta; Magnoliopsida; Malpighiales; Euphorbiaceae.
UCUGCAGAUAAUUGUUGACUAAUUUUGCUAAAUUUCAAACUCUUAUGUAUUUCCGCUUCUAUAAUGCAUACUAGCUAGAUUUGCUUGAAAAAUUAAACUAAAUAUUAUUAUUUAUCACAGGGCCAUCGAAAGAUUGGGUCUUUCUAAGGUUCCAGUGAAGGCCCUCGUGAAUGCUGCGCAAGAAGUCAUUGGUGGAAUCAACUUGGCAUGCUGUAGGCACAGGCCAAGGCGCCAUGCUGCACACAAGUGCAUCGCCGGCUGCUAACUGUUUCCUGUCCUUGCCAUCAAAUGAUACCCAAGCAGAGCUUCUACUGUUGAAAGGAACUUGUACCCUUACUGUUACAUGUUCAGGUAAUAUCAGAGGCCGAAAAGACAAUGAAUGUGGACAAAUUGGUGUAAAGAGGAUGCCUGGAACCUGCAAUUACAGAAUAUAACAUUUAUAAGGUUUUACUAACAUAAAACGAAAACCAACAUAAAAUAUGAUCUAAUUUAGAUAGGUAAAUCAAGCUUCUUUAAAAGUGAAUUAAUAGUUGUGGGGCCGUGGCUGCACAUUCUAGUCUGACACAUCAAAGAAUGGGAGGGUCAACAGGAUAUUUAAAGAAAAUAUUGUAUUGUAAUGUACCUGUGGAUGGACCAUCGAUCCUCCAGCUGCCAAUGAAUAAGCAGUGCUACCCGAUGUUGUUGAUAAAAUUAACCCAUCACCUUGCACACAUGUGACAAAGGAGUUGUCACAAUAGCAUUCCAAAUUUGUGAGGUAGGAUGAUAUUCCACGGUCAAUCGUAACCUCAUUCAGAACAAGUAUAGGCUCGUCAGUUUCAACCUCAUUUGUUGCUGCAUCUCUAAUGACAUGGCAUUGUAAACGAUGUCGCAAUGUUAUAUUAAUUGGACCCCUAAGAAUUGAAUCAAGGCAAUCUCUGUAAUGUUCACUAUCUAAAAAAUGUUAAAGGAUACUUUUUGAGUUCAGACAAAGAGAAGGUAAUAAAUAUUUAAAGCAAUUGUAACUCCUGCAAAAGAGAAGCCAGUAUUAGCAAUGGAGAAUUUCUUUUCCACUUGAGGAAUUAAACUUCUUUGGAAAAUAUUAAGGAUACGAAACGGUGUCAUAAAGCCAAGAGAACCUAGAGAAAACGGAACAAUGGGAGGAACUGGUCCUUUGAACAUAGAUGCUGCCUGCAAGUAAAAAAAGGCAGAUAGUAACUUCUCCAAAGGCAGAUGAAAGGAAGAGAAGCACAAAAUAAAAAUAAGGCAGAUGUGGAUCAAACUGAAAGAACAUACCCAAAGAACAGUACCAUCCCCACCAAGAGUAACUACAAGAUCAACUUUUUUGUGCAGUAGAGAAAUUUCCUUGUCUGCGAACGAGUUCAUACAUAGUGAAAUAUCCAUAAAUAAAAAAGCAAAAUAUUGUGUCCCACAAAUUUGAGUUCAAACAGUGUUUAUAUUAGCAGUAGUGAAAUUCACUUGGUUAAAUCAAUGAUUCGCUAUAAGAUUGUGUAGCAAUUUACCAUCUUUCCAUGUUUUCACAAAGUUGAAGUAAGACGAUUCUGUCAGAAGUUCACCCCUCACACGUGGUUCCACGUAAAUGUUUAACUUUUUAUUUUCUUCCAACCAUCUGGUAAUGGAAAUUGAAAAAUUAGGCACAGAAAAUUUUUUGCUUAAUUGCACAAGCAUUUGUAGAUAAGAACUAUUAAUAUCAAACUACGAGCUCUGGAACAAUUUAGAUAUUCUUUUCAGAUAAAGAAAUGAAAAUAAUGCAACACGAGAAACCACAAUUAAAACUCUUUUCUAUAGAAUAUUUUCCAAAGCAUUGAGGAACUUCAUCGUGAAAUGUACAUUAUUAACAGAUACAUGUUCAUGGUCAGUAAAAUCAUUUACAAAUACCUACACAAUAAUGAAAGCAACUAAAUUGAGAAACUCAUUUCAGAAUUGAAAAAUGUAAAACAAAAAAAAAAAAAAAAAAGUCUCCUUCAUCUCCAAGCGUCCUUCUCUUUCAGCCAGGACUGAACCUCUUGUAAAUCUGCAAAGGCUUGCUAACAGAUUUCAUCAUCAUCUGCAGAUAAUUGUUGACUAAUUUUGCUAAAUUUCAAACUCUUAUGUAUUUCCGCUUCUAUAAUGCAUACUAGCUAGAUUUGCUUGAAAAAUUAAACUAAAUAUUAUUAUUUAUCACAGGGCCAUCGAAAGAUUGGGUCUUUCUAAGGUUCCAGUGAAGGCCCUCGUGAAUGCUGCGCAAGAAGUCAUUGGUGGAAUCAACUUGGCAUGCUGUAGGCACAGGCCAAGGCGCCAUGCUGCACACAAGUGCAUCGCCGGCUGCUAACUGUUUCCUGUCCUUGCCAUCAAAUGAUACCC